RNAcentral lists this ribosomal RNA (299 nucleotides) under uncultured bacterium. Its description in RNAcentral is "partial 16S ribosomal RNA". It matches the Rfam family "Bacterial small subunit ribosomal RNA", at positions 123 to 406 of the family's 1533-position model. The record is from RNAcentral.
AAUCUACCCCCAGGUGGUGGAUAACCUUCCGAAAGGAAGGCUAAUACAGCAUGGGACCACGACUUCGCAAGGAGUUGAGGUGAAAGUCAGCCUCUUCACGAAAGCCGACGCCAGGGGAUGAGCCUGCGGCCCAUCAGCUAGUUGGUAGGGUAAUGGCCUACCAAGGCAAAGACGGGUAGCUGGUCUGAGAGGAUGAUCAGCCACACUGGAACUGAGACACGGUCCAGACUCCUACGGGAGGCAGCAGUGGGGAAUCUUGCGCAAUGGACGAAAGUCUGACGCAGCGACGCCGCGUGAGU